Acanthosepion pharaonis is the source of this 113-nucleotide non-coding RNA. NCBI's taxonomy places the organism in Eukaryota, Metazoa, Mollusca, Cephalopoda, Sepiida, Sepiidae. The record is from the annotation of a GenBank genome assembly.
UACGGCCACAUCGAGCUGAAACACUGGUUCUCGGCCGAUCACCAAAGUUAAGCAAUGUCAAGCUUGGUCAAUACCUAGAUGAGUGUCCGCUUGGAAACAUCAGGUACUGUAAG